This 465-nucleotide ribosomal RNA is filed under the name uncultured bacterium. RNAcentral's name for it is "partial 16S ribosomal RNA". It matches the Rfam family "Bacterial small subunit ribosomal RNA", at positions 338 to 795 of the family's 1533-position model. The record is from RNAcentral.
CCUACGGUAGGCAGCAGUAGGGAAUCUUCCACAAUGGGCGAAAGCCUGAUGGAGCAACGCCGCGUGGGUGAAGAAGGUCUUCGGAUCGUAAAACCCUGUUGUUAGAGAAGAAAGUGCGUGAGAGUAACUGUUCACGUUUCGACGGUAUCUAACCAGAAAGCCACGGCUAACUACGUGCCAGCAGCCGCGGUCAUACGUAGGUGGCAAGAUUUAUCCGGAUUUAUUGGGCGUAAAGGGAACGCAGGCGGUCUUUUAAGUCUGAUGUGAAUGCCUUCGGCUUAACCGGAGUAGUGCAUUGGAAACUGGGAGACGUGAGUGCAGAAGAGGAGAGUGGAACUCCAUGUGUAGCGGUGAAAUGCGUAGAUAUAUGGAAGGACACCAGUGGCGAAAGCGGCUCUCUGGUCUGUAACUGACGCUGAGGUUCGAAAGCGUGGGUAGCAAACAGGAUUAGAUACCCCGGUAGUC